GUCCUGCCUGCGGCAGCUGCGCUUUACCAGCUUGCUGCCCGCUACAGCCGAGGAGCGCUGAUUGAGUGGCCACCACAGAGCAGAGCAGAGCAGGACUGUUCUGGGUCGCGCUAGCACGGGCGAGGAGGGUUUUGCCUUUUGGAAAUUUAUGAUAUGUUCCUAGUCUGAAUUGCUCUGCAAGUUGCAGGUACUGAAAGGCUGCAAUGUCACCUCAGAGCCUACUCCAGGCUGAACAGUCUCAACUCUUUUAGCCUGUCCUCACAGGAGAGAUGCUCCAGCUCUCUGAUCAUCUUCAUGGCCUUCCUCUGAACCUGGACUAAAAAGCAGCCCCUCCGCCUGUAACUACAGGAAGCACAGAGAAACACAAGUAUUGCUGUGAUGUUCAGAGGGAGACUCAGCACAAGCACGAAGGUGUAAACUGAAGGAACAAAACGGGUCAGCCAUGGACUAGUGAGGUUGUCAUCCAGUCCUUUUGGAAGAAGUUAAACUGGUGGAUUUCUGGUUUUAUGAAUAAUAGUACUCUCACUGCUGAUACGACAGUUAACAGCUCUGUCAAAAUACCUGCAAAAUUUAAGAAGGCAUGAAAGAAGAGGACUAAUAAACUAUGGACAAAGAAAUAGCAGGAUGAAGCACGAAGGUUUUAUCCUAGUGCUGUGUAGUAAGGACACUGAAUGAUACACAUAUAGUGUUUUUCUUUGCUUCCAAUAAGGAUUUCAAAAGCCAAAAAUUACAUAGAAUGAGUACAAUACUCAAACUGCCUGAAGUUUUCCUUUACUGACUGGUUUUUGCACCAGUUCUCUAAUGAGGACAUAGAGAAACGAUGUAGAAAGCUCAGUAAGUUUGGGAUUGUCUAAUUUAUACUGUGCUGUUUUCCAUCAAGUACUACAAACUGUUUGUCUCACAAUCAGCAUAAUCAUAUUCUGCUUACUCUGCAUUUUUUUAUACUUUAUACUUACUGCUAUUUUUUUUAAUAGAGAGCUAUUUUAGAAUUUCUUUUCAUGCCUGUGUUCAUAUGCAAGGGGCAUACUGUUCUGUGAGACGAGAAUUAGAGAGCAAAAAAUUCAACAGCCUCAGCCAAUCUUAAAAAGCACUCUUGAGCUCAAGAAGAAAAUUUAAAAAUAUUUCUGUAGACCCAGAAAUCUGCACAGGACGUUACAGAACAGCAGCCCUCAUAUCCCAAGGGAUAUCUUUGUGAUGUGGGAGACUAAAGAAUAGGCUCCUAGAGAAGCAAUUAAAUAUGUUCCCUAUGUGCUCCUUGACAAUUAAUACUAAUUUCUGGGCAUUACUGGUGACAGCUGCACCCACACCGCUGGUGCUGGCUUAUUACAAAAACUCGGUUUCUCUUAUCACCUCUUUGUAUAAUCUGAAUUGAUAAGCAUCUAGAAUGUAAAUUUCUCAGUGGCCCAUAAAUGAGGUACUUGAAGGCAAACUGUGAAGUGCAUGCCAGAUGUGUUAAUAAACAAGGUAAGACACAACCUUGUAGCAGGGAUGACAGUUACUUGCUUUUAUAAAAAUAAACAUUGAAUUGUCUUUAAGAAAAUCUUCAACAGUCCACAUCUCCAUUUAUACAGAAUUUUUUUAAUGUAUUAUAGGCUAAUUAGUAACC
Myiozetetes cayanensis is the source of this 1606-nucleotide long non-coding RNA. RefSeq lists it as uncharacterized. The record is from RefSeq and is a predicted model, not a curated record. Lineage: Eukaryota; Metazoa; Chordata; Aves; Passeriformes; Tyrannidae. The transcript is spliced from 5 exons.